Molecule: small RNA, 288 nt
Filed under: Pongo abelii (Sumatran orangutan)
Lineage: Eukaryota; Metazoa; Chordata; Mammalia; Primates; Hominidae
Description: retained intron
Source: RNAcentral
UAUAUGGCAACUAACCAGUCAUUCUCCCUCUUCCUCUCAGGCGGGCAGGGCUGGGCAGCGGCCUGAGUCUCAGUGGACUUGUCCACCCGGAGUUGAGUCGGAGCGGCGAGCUGGCAGUACAGGCUCUGGAGCAGUUUGCCACUGUGGUGGAGGCCAAGCUGAUAAAACACAAGAAGGGGAUUGUCAGUGAGUGAGCCCUACACCCUUCCGCCCCUCCCUUUCCUCUCCUUGAAACUAACGCCCCCACCCCCACCCCACCUACCCAACAGAUGAACAGUUUCUGCUGCA